This 307-nucleotide long non-coding RNA is filed under the name Androctonus crassicauda. Lineage: Eukaryota; Metazoa; Arthropoda; Arachnida; Scorpiones; Buthidae. The record is from RNAcentral.
UUUUAUUUUUACCUUUCGUAGUUUCCGGAAUUUACAUUCAUCAAUAUCUAAUACCUCAUAUGUAGUUCAAUUAAUGCUUCUUUUGCUAUUACAGUUAAUGCUACCAUGAUUUCCCGCCUGAAGUCUGGGCACACUACUUAUUUCCUUCAAAAACGGUCAAAAAGAUUUUCCCUAAAUGUACCUACUGUAACAACGAGGAUGACUCUCCUGAACACCUUUCCUGCAUUGAUGCUUCCAAACAGAACCUGUAUAAUAAUAAACCUGUGUGAGGUCCUGGGGACCCACCCACAUUCCUUUCCUUUAUAUA